This 416-nucleotide ribosomal RNA is filed under the name uncultured bacterium. RNAcentral's name for it is "bacterial SSU rRNA". It matches the Rfam family "Bacterial small subunit ribosomal RNA", at positions 362 to 775 of the family's 1533-position model. The record is from RNAcentral.
UAUUGGUCAAUGGGCGGGAGCCUGAACCAGCCAAGUCGCGUGGGGGAAGACGGUCCUACGGAUUGUAAACCUCUUUUGCCGGGGAGCAACGGGGUCCUUGCGAGGGCCCAAUGCGAGUACCCGGAGAAAAAGCAUCGGCUAACCCCGUUCCAUCAGCCGACGUACUACGGAGGAUGCGAGCGUUAUCCGGAUUUAUUGGGUUUAAAGGGUGCGUAGGCGGGCUGUUAAGUCAGCGGUCAAAUGUCGGGGCUCAACCCCGGCCUGCCGUUGAAACUGGCGGCCUCGAGUGGGCGAGAAGUAUGCGGAAUGCGUGGUGUAGCGGUGAAAUGCAUAGAUAUCACGCAGAACUCCGAUUGCGAAGGCAGCAUACCGGCGCCCUACUGACGCUGAGGCACGAAAGCGUGGGUAUCGAACAG